This 467-nucleotide ribosomal RNA is filed under the name uncultured bacterium. RNAcentral describes it as "partial 16S ribosomal RNA". It matches the Rfam family "Bacterial small subunit ribosomal RNA", at positions 28 to 506 of the family's 1533-position model. The record is from RNAcentral.
GACGAACGCUGGCGGCGUGCUUAACACAUGCAAGUCGAACGGAAAGGCCCUGCUUUUGUGGGGUGCUCGAGUGGCGAACGGGUGAGUAACACGUGAGUAACCUGCCCUUGACUUUGGGAUAACUUCAGGAAACUGGGGCUAAUACCGGAUAGGAGCUCCUGCUGCAUGGUGGGGGUUGGAAAGUUUCGGCGGUUGGGGAUGGACUCGCGGCUUAUCAGCUUGUUGGUGGGGUAGUGGCUUACCAAGGCUUUGACGGGUAGCCGGCCUGAGAGGGUGACCGGCCACAUUGGGACUGAGAUACGGCCCAGACUCCUACGGGAGGCAGCAGUGGGGAAUAUUGCACAAUGGGCGGAAGCCUGAUGUAGCAACGCCGCGUGCGGGAUGACGGCCUUCGGGUUGUAAACCGCUUUCGCCUGUGACGAAGCGUGAGUGACGGUAAUGGGUAAAGAAACACCGGCUAACUACGU